Molecule: ribosomal RNA, 541 nt
Filed under: uncultured bacterium
Lineage: Bacteria
Description: partial 16S ribosomal RNA
Rfam family: Bacterial small subunit ribosomal RNA
Source: RNAcentral
UGGGGAAUUUUGGACAAUGGGCGAAAGCCUGAUCCAGCAAUGCCGCGUGUGUGAAGAAGGCCUUCGGGUUGUAAAGCACUUUUGUCCGGAAAGAAAUCCUUGGCUCUAAUACAGUCGGGGGAUGACGGUACCGGAAGAAUAAGCACCGGCUAACUACGUGCCAGCAGCCGCGGUAAUACGUAGGGUGCAAGCGUUAAUCGGAAUUACUGGGCGUAAAGCGUGCGCAGGCGGUUUGCUAAGACCGAUGUGAAAUCCCCGGGCUCAACCUGGGAACUGCAUUGGUGACUGGCAGGCUAGAGUAUGGCAGAGGGGGUAGAAUUCCACGUGUAGCAGUGAAAUGCGUAGAGAUGUGGAGGAAUACCGAUGGCGAAGGCAGCCCCUGGGCCAAUACUGACGCUCAUGCACGAAAGCGUGGGGAGCAAACAGGAUUAGAUACCCUGGUAGUCCACGCCCUAAAACCGAUGUCCAACUAGUUNUUGGGGAUUCAUUUCCUUAGUAACGUAGCUAACGCGUGAAGUUGACCGCCUGGGGAGUACGGUCG